AUGAACGCUGGCGGCGUGCCUAAUACAUGCAAGUCGAGCGAACAGACGAGGAGCUUGCUCCUCUGACGUUAGCGGCGGACGGGUGAGUAACACGUGGAUAACCUACCUAUAAGACUGGGAUAAUUUCGGGAAACCGGAGCUAAUACCGGAUAAUAUAUUGAACCGCAUGGUUCAAUAGUGAAAGACGGUUUUGCUGUCACUUAUAGAUGGAUCCGCGCCGCAUUAGCUAGUUGGUAAGGUAACGGCUUACCAAGGCAACGAUGCGUAGCCGACCUGAGAGGGUGAUCGGCCACACUGGAACUGAGACACGGUCCAGACUCCUACGGGAGGCAGCAGUAGGGAAUCUUCCGCAAUGGGCGAAAGCUUGACGGAGCAACGCCGCGUGAGUGAUGAAGGUCUUCGGAUCGUAAAACUCUGUUAUUAGGGAAGAACAAAUGUGUAAGUAACUAUGCACGUCUUGACGGUACCUAAUCAGAAAGCCACGGCUAACUACGUG
This 496-nucleotide ribosomal RNA is filed under the name uncultured bacterium. RNAcentral describes it as "partial 16S ribosomal RNA". It matches the Rfam family "Bacterial small subunit ribosomal RNA", at positions 29 to 507 of the family's 1533-position model. The record is from RNAcentral.